CGCGGGGUGGAGCAGUUGGUAGCUCGCCAGGCUCAUAACCUGGAGGUCGUAGGUUCGAGUCCUGCCUCCGCAAC
RNAcentral lists this transfer RNA (74 nucleotides) under Bacteroidia bacterium. RNAcentral's name for it is "tRNA-Met". It matches the Rfam family "tRNA". From Rfam's summary of the family: Transfer RNA (tRNA) molecules are approximately 80 nucleotides in length. Their secondary structure includes four short double-helical elements and three loops (D, anti-codon, and T loops). Lineage: Bacteria; Pseudomonadati; Bacteroidota; Bacteroidia. The record is from RNAcentral.